AGUACAUCAACAUAAUGGCUUCUUGUUUUCGAUUCGAAAUUGUAUUCGUAUACCGCAACUUGUUACAGUAUUACUAGAUUUAAAAACUGGCAAAAUGUUACUGUAUCAAUCAUUUUCAUCGUAUUAUCUUUAUUAAAUAGUUAAUAGAUUGUGUAAAAUAGGGUAAGUCCGGGGUAGAUGGCCAUAUGGGAGAGAUGGCCUAUCGAAAUAUUUCAAGGUACGGUUCAUUAAAUGCCACCGUUUCGCAUUUAGUUCGUUGGGCGUCGUGCGUGAGGACAGCGGUGCGACAAAACAUUUGGCGAAAAAAAAAGAAAAAAUGCCUAAUAAAUACAAGAGAAAGGCAGUGGCUGUGAGAGGAAAUUGGUCGGAAGAAUCACUAAAAGCAGCUAUUAAUGCUGUGAAAAAUGAUGGAUUAUCCGUACGCGCGGCUAGUCUCCAGUAUCAGAUACCUAGAAAGGCAUUAGAACGAAAGCUAAAGAAGAAUGACGACAAGAAAGGCCCUAUGGGACCACCUACUUUAUUCGGAGAACAAAAUGAGAAAAAAUUGGUUGCUCAUAUUAAAACAAUGUAAGCUAAAGGCUUUCCUUUAACGAGGGAUGAUGUGAGAAAAAUAGCUUACGAAUUU
This is a long non-coding RNA of Bombyx mori (domestic silkworm), 625 nucleotides long. RefSeq lists it as uncharacterized. The transcript has 2 exons. NCBI's taxonomy places the organism in Eukaryota, Metazoa, Arthropoda, Insecta, Lepidoptera, Bombycidae. The record is from RefSeq and is a predicted model, not a curated record.